RNAcentral lists this long non-coding RNA (2151 nucleotides) under Phasianus colchicus (ring-necked pheasant). RNAcentral describes it as "lncRNA (ENSPCLG00000016416.1)". The record is from RNAcentral. Lineage: Eukaryota; Metazoa; Chordata; Aves; Galliformes; Phasianidae.
GGCUAUGGGGAUGGGGAGGGGUUGGAUGGGGGUUGGAUGGGGAGGGGAAGGGGCUACGAAAUGGGGAGGGGUUAUGGAAUGGGGAGGGGUUCUAUGGGUGGGGGAAGGGGUCUGGAAAUGGGGAGGGUCUACGAAUGAGGGGGAGGGUCUCUGGAAAUGGGGCGGGGCUACGCUUUUUUGGGGCGUGGCUUUUUCGGCAGGUGUGGCUCCGAUGUGGGCGGGGCUUCGGUGUGGGCGGGGCUUGGGAGGGGGAGGGGCCAUCGCCGUCCCCGGGAUCUCAGUGUCAUAAAUUGACAUUGGGGGGGGGGGGGNNNNNNNNNNNNNNGGGGGGAGCAUUGUUUUUCCAUAGAAAUUUCCCUUUUUUGCCUCUUUUAUUCCCACCUUUUCCUUUUUUUUCAGAUCUAUUUAUUAUUAUUUUCCCCUCCCCAGUGUGUGCAGUGGGGAAGGGGGAGGGGGAGCCCAGGAAAUGGGGAGACCCCAAAAAUGGGAAUCCCCCCUUUCCCCCCCCCACUCCAAGAACUGGGGAGAACCCCAAAGAAAGGGGGGGUGUCAGGAGAUGAGGUGAACCCCAAAAUUUGGGUCCCUACCCAGGAAUUGGGGAGAUCCCUAAGAAUCAUAGAGGUGCACCAAGAACUGGGGGGGAGGGGUCAUAAUGGGGGACACCCCCGAGAAGUGGGGGACCCCCCCCAAAAGUGAGGAUCAGCGAAGAAAUGGGGACCCCCCCCCCCCAAGAAGCGUUGAGGCGCCCCGGGAUGUGGGGACACAGCAGGAAUUGGGGACACGGGGGGGGUCUGGGGGGGUCCCUGAGAUCUGGGGGUGCUCUGAGGAAUGGAAGAUGGAGACCCCAAAGGCACGGAGACCCCAGGAGCGUCGGGGGACCCCAAAAAUCUAUGAGGAACCCAAAGAUGUGAAGACCCCAAGAAUAUGGGGAUCCCAAAGACCUGAAGACCUCAAGAACUAUGAAGACCCCAAAGUCCUGGAGACCCCAAAAAUACAUGAAGACCCCCAAGGACAUGGAGACCCCAAAGUCAUGGAGACCCCAAGAAUCCAUGAGGACCCACAGGUCAUGGAGACCCCAAAAAGGUGGAGACCCCAAAGAACAUGGAGGCCCAAACUCAUGGAGACCCCAAAUGAGAACAUGGAGACCCCAAAGACAUGGAGACCCCAAGAACUACGAAGACCCCGAAGUCAUGGAGACCCCAAAGACUGUGGAACCCCAAGAACACGGGAUCCCAAAGACACGGAGACCCCCAAGGACAUGGAGACCCCAAAAUUCAUGAGGACCACAAGACGAUGGAGACCCCAAAGAUGUGAAGACCCCAAAGACAUGAAGACCCCCAAGAACAUGGAGACCCCAAACACUGUGGAACCCCAAGAACAGAGACCCCAAAGAAGACAUGAAGACCCCAAAGAAGACAUGGAGUCCCCAGAGACAUGGAGACCCCAAAGAAGACACGAAGACCCCAAGGGCACGGAGACCCCAAAAUUCACGGAGACCCCAAGAACACGGAGACCCCAAAGAAGACACGAAGACCCCAAGGCCGUGGGGACCCCAAAGACACGGAGACCCCGAGAACACGGAGCCCCCAGCACUCGAAGCCCCCCACCCCACAGAAGCCCCCCAAGCCUGGGGAGCGGGGAUGCACCAGGAAUGGGGGAACACAGCGGGAACGUCACUGGGUGGGGGGGCGGGGAGGGGGGAGGGGAGGGAUUUGGGGUCGCCCCCCCAGAAAUGGGGGUCCCCGAGAAGAGUGGGGUGGGGGCGCGGCGGGACGGGGCCCCCCGGGGUGGGCGGCUCUUUGGUUGAGCGCACGACUCUGAGGUAUUUGUCCGCGGGCUGGGGGGUCUGGGGGGGUCCUGCGCCCCUCCUCNNNNNNNNNNNNNNNNNNNNNNNNNNNNNNNNNNNNNNNNNNNNNNNNNNNNNNNNNNNNNNNNNNNNNNNNNNNNNNGGUCCCCCCCCCAUCCCCCACCACGGGGGGGAAGGCGGAGGGGUGGGGGGCACCACGGGGGAACCCACGGAGGGGGGCUGGGGGCGUGGCGCCGCGUGGAGGUCGUGACCCCGCGGAGGACCCCGGGGUCGUGACCCCUUGGAGGACUCCUUGGAGGACCUCUUGGAGGACCUCGAGGUCGCGACCCCGUGGAGGACCCCCA